Molecule: ribosomal RNA, 255 nt
Filed under: uncultured prokaryote
Description: partial 16S ribosomal RNA
Rfam family: Bacterial small subunit ribosomal RNA
Source: RNAcentral
AAUACGAAGGGGGCUAGCGUUGCUCGGAAUCACUGGGCGUAAAGGGCGCGUAGGCGGCCGAUCAAGUCGGGGGUGAAAGCCUGUGGCUCAACCACAGAAUUGCCUUCGAUACUGUUCGGCUCGAGACCGGAAGAGGUUGGUGGAACUGCGAGUGUAGAGGUGAAAUUCGUAGAUAUUCGCAAGAACACCGGUGGCGAAGGCGGCCAACUGGUCCGGAUCUGACGCUGAGGCGCGAAAGCGUGGGGAGCAAACAGG